This 185-nucleotide unclassified non-coding RNA is filed under the name uncultured Cortinariaceae. Its description in RNAcentral is "sequence contains ITS2". The record is from RNAcentral. Lineage: Eukaryota; Fungi; Basidiomycota; Agaricomycetes; Agaricales; Cortinariaceae.
AUACAUAUAUCAACCUUCCCUUUCGGUGAAUGGUUUGGAUGUGGGGGUUUGCUGGCCUCUAAAGAGUUCAGCUCCCCUGAAAUGCAUUAGCGGAACAACCUGGUUCAUUGGUGUGAUAACUAUCUACGCCGUUGAAUGUGAGGGGCAGUUCAGCUUUCUAACAGUCCUUGGACAAAUCAUCAUUA